Molecule: long non-coding RNA, 250 nt
Organism: Limulus polyphemus (Atlantic horseshoe crab)
Lineage: Eukaryota; Metazoa; Arthropoda; Merostomata; Xiphosura; Limulidae
Exons: 3
Source: RefSeq, a predicted model, not a curated record
GAUAUGUUUCUAUGUGUCGUGUGUAAAAGUGCUGUAAAAGGACAGUUCGAAAGACAUCACUGGAGGCAAAUCUGAGAUUAUAGGAUAAAUAGAGUUAUUGCAAUAAUGGCAGCUCCAUAUAACUCAGAACCCAGACAGAAUUGGUAUCCACCUUCAUCUGGUGUAGUUGGAAUACCACCAGCUGGCGGAUUAGGUUAUCCACCACCAGGACCUGCAGGUGUUCAGUGGAUGUCUCUUCCCUCGGCUCCCC